AGAGUUUGAUCAUGGCUCAGAACGUACGCUGGCGGCACGCCUAACACAUGCAAGUCGAACGCAGUAGCAAUACUGAGUGGCAGACGGGUGAGUAUAAUGUGGGAAUCUGCCUUUUGGUUUGGAAUAACAUGGGGAAACCUGUGCUAAUACCGAAUAAGCCCUUACGGGGAAAGUUUUAACGCCGAAAGAUGAGCCUGCACUUGAUUAGCUAGUUGGUAAGGUAAAAGCUUACCAAGGCAAUGAUCAAUAGCUGUUCUUAGAGGAAGACCAGCCACAUUGGGACUGAGACACGGCCCAGACUCCUACGGGAGGCAGCAGUGGGGAAUCUUGCACAAUGGGGGAAACCCUGAUGCAGCGAUGCCGCGUGAGUGAAGAAGGCCUUUGGGUUGUAAAACUCUUUCGUCGGGGAAGAAAAUGACU
This 420-nucleotide ribosomal RNA is filed under the name uncultured bacterium. RNAcentral's name for it is "bacterial SSU rRNA". It matches the Rfam family "Bacterial small subunit ribosomal RNA", at positions 8 to 456 of the family's 1533-position model. The record is from RNAcentral.